UAGGGAAUCUUCGGCAAUGGACGAAAGUCUGACCGAGCAACGCCGCGUGAGUGAAGAAGGUUUUCGGAUCGUAAAACUCUGUUGUUAGAGAAGAACGUUGGUGAGAGUGGAAAGCUCAUCAAGUGACGGUAACUACCCAGAAAGGGACGGCUAACUACGUGCCAU
RNAcentral lists this ribosomal RNA (165 nucleotides) under uncultured bacterium. RNAcentral's name for it is "partial 16S rRNA". It matches the Rfam family "Bacterial small subunit ribosomal RNA", at positions 355 to 511 of the family's 1533-position model. The record is from RNAcentral.